This 181-nucleotide ribosomal RNA is filed under the name uncultured bacterium. RNAcentral's name for it is "partial 16S ribosomal RNA". It matches the Rfam family "Bacterial small subunit ribosomal RNA", at positions 1319 to 1500 of the family's 1533-position model. The record is from RNAcentral.
CAUGAAGCCGGAAUUGCUAGUAAUGGCAGGUCAGCAUACUGCCGUGAAUACGUUCCCGGGCCUUGUACACACCGCCCGUCACACCAUGAGAGUUGGGAAUACCCGAAGCCUGUGAGCUAACUUUUAGAGGCAGCAGUCGAAGGUAGAAUCAAUGAUUGGGGUGAAGUCGUAACAAGGUAUC